UAACAUAUAGUUAUGUAAUAAAUUUAAAUUAUAUCUUUCUACAAACAUUUUUAGACUGAGUAAAGGUGAUUAAAAAUUAUUAUAUAUAUUUCAGGCUAAGUACUGUGAAGGAAUACUAUUAAUUGUUUUAAAGAAAAAAUUAAUUUUUGUACCUUUUGUAUCAUGGCUUAACUAGAUACUAUUUUAGACCUAAAUUUCUCGAAAUCUAAUGAGCUAUUUUUACUAUUUAUUUUAGAAAAUAAAAGGUAAUUGUGGCAAAAAUUUCUUAAUAAGUAAAAAUAGGAAUUAUAUUUUAUUCGUAUUAGAUGAUAGCUAGUUCUUUUAUUAACGUAUAGAAGUACUUUAAAUAAUUUUUUUUUUUGCAAUAGAGUGUAAAACAGAUUUUAUUUAGCUAAAUUUUUAAGGAUAAGCUUAAAAAUUAAUAUUAUAUUUACCUUAUAUUUUCAUUAAAAUUUAAGCUUGAAAAUAGCUAUAACUAUGAGUUUGUUACAAUUUCAUUAGUUAUUUUAAAAAAUAAUUGAUUUGUUAUUUUUAAUAAAAGAGAAUUUUAAAACUAUUAUAAAAUUAAACGUAUGUUAAAAUGAGUAUAAAUUAAUGUAUUAAUUUUAAAAACAAUAUAUAUUAAAGUUAAUUUAUAUUUUACUUAAAAAAAUUAUAAAAAGGAACUCGGCAAAUUAUAUUCUGCCUGUUUAGCAAAAACAUGGCUCCUUGCUAAUUUAAAAUAAGGAGUCGGACCUGCCCAGUGAGAAUUUUUAACGGCCGCAGUACUCUGACCGUGCAAAGGUAGCAUAAUCAUUUGCCUUAUAAUUGAAGGCUAGUAUGAAUGGUUUGACAAGAAUAUAACUGUCUCUUUAUAAUUUUAUAGAAUUUUUUUUAUAAGUGAAGAAACUUAUAUAUUAUUAAAAGACAAGAAGACCCUAUCGAGCUUAAAAUAAAUUAAAAGAUAUAAAGAUUUAUAAUAUUAAAAAAUUAAUUUUAAAAAUUUUAGUUGGGGCGACUAAGGAACAAAAAAAGCUUCCUUUAAAAUAUAAGACAGAUAAGUUUUGAUCCAAAAUAUUUUGAUUAAAGGAAUUAGUUACCGUAGGGAUAACAGCAUUAUCUUUUUUGAGAGUUCUUAUCGAAAAAAAGGUUUGUGACCUCGAUGUUGGACCAGAAUAUCCUAAAGAUGCAGCAGUCUUUAAGGGUUGGUCUGUUCGACCAUUAAAAUUCUACGUGAUCUGAGUUCAGACCGGCGUGAGCCAGGUCAGUUUCUAUCUUUA
RNAcentral lists this ribosomal RNA (1259 nucleotides) under Metula amosi. RNAcentral's name for it is "16S ribosomal RNA". The stretch from base 875 to 1259 matches the Rfam family "Bacterial large subunit ribosomal RNA", at positions 2048 to 2646 of the family's 2925-position model. The record is from RNAcentral. Lineage: Eukaryota; Metazoa; Mollusca; Gastropoda; Neogastropoda; Buccinidae.